RNAcentral lists this ribosomal RNA (1164 nucleotides) under Janthinobacterium psychrotolerans. Its description in RNAcentral is "bacterial LSU rRNA". It matches the Rfam family "Bacterial large subunit ribosomal RNA", at positions 1 to 1209 of the family's 2925-position model. Lineage: Bacteria; Pseudomonadati; Pseudomonadota; Betaproteobacteria; Burkholderiales; Oxalobacteraceae. The record is from RNAcentral.
AUAGGGACAAGCGAAUAAGUGCACAUGGUGGAUGCCUUGGCGAUUACAGGCGAUGAAGGACGUAGUAGCUUGCGAUAAGCUGCGGGGAGUGAGCAAACACACUUUGAUCCGCAGAUUUCCGAAUGGGGCAACCCACCCUUUUAGGGUAUUGCAUACUGAAUACAUAGGUAUGCAAGGCGAACGCGGCGAACUGAAACAUCUAAGUAGCUGCAGGAAAAGAAAUCAACCGAGAUUCCCAAAGUAGCGGCGAGCGAAAUGGGAAGAGCCUGUACGUGAUAGUCGGACCGAUAACAGAAUCCUCUGGAAAUAGGAGCCAUAGUGGGUGAUAGCCCCGUAUGUGAAAUCGGACCGGUGGUACUAAGCGUACGACAAGUAGGGCGGGACACGUGACAUCCUGUCUGAAUAUGGGGGGACCAUCCUCCAAGGCUAAAUACUCGUAAUCGACCGAUAGUGAACCAGUACCGUGAGGGAAAGGCGAAAAGAACCCCGGAAGGGGAGUGAAAUAGAUCCUGAAACCGUGUGCAUACAAACAGUAGGAGCGGACUUGUUCCGUGACUGCGUACCUUUUGUAUAAUGGGUCAGCGACUUACAUUCAGUGGCAAGGUUAACCAACUAGGGAAGCCGUAGAGAAAUCGAGUCCGAAUAGGGCGAUCAGUCGCUGGGUGUAGACCCGAAACCAAGUGAUCUACUCAUGGCCAGGAUGAAGGUGCGGUAACACGCCCUGGAGGUCCGAACCCACUAAUGUUGAAAAAUUAGGGGAUGAGCUGUGGGUAGGGGUGAAAGGCUAAACAAACUUGGAAAUAGCUGGUUCUCUCCGAAAACUAUUUAGGUAGUGCCUCAAGUAUCACCAUCGGGGGUAGAGCACUGUUAUGGCUAGGGGGUCAUUGCGACUUACCAAACCAUUGCAAACUCCGAAUACCGAUGAGUGCGAGCUUGGGAGACAGACGUCGGGUGCUAACGUCCGGCGUCAAGAGGGAAACAACCCAGACCGCCAGCUAAGGUCCCAAAGAUUGGCUAAGUGGAAAACGAAGUGGGAAGGCUAAAACAGUCAGGAUGUUGGCUUAGAAGCAGCCAUCAUUUAAAGAAAGCGUAAUAGCUCACUGAUCGAGUCGUCCUGCGCGGAAGAUGUAACGGGGCUAAGCCAGUCACCGAAGCUGCGGAUAU